RNAcentral lists this non-coding RNA (20 nucleotides) under Arabidopsis thaliana (thale cress). The record is from RNAcentral. Lineage: Eukaryota; Viridiplantae; Streptophyta; Magnoliopsida; Brassicales; Brassicaceae.
UAAUGAACCUCAGGCGACCA